UGUUGGGCAAGGGCUAUAGCUCAGUGGUAGAGCAUCUGGUUUGCAUGCAGAAGGUCCCCGGUUCAAUCUUUGGCAUCUCCCAAUAA
RNAcentral lists this transfer RNA (86 nucleotides) under Podarcis lilfordi (Lilford's wall lizard). RNAcentral describes it as "tRNA.Ala". The stretch from base 10 to 81 matches the Rfam family "tRNA". Rfam says of the family: Transfer RNA (tRNA) molecules are approximately 80 nucleotides in length. Their secondary structure includes four short double-helical elements and three loops (D, anti-codon, and T loops). Further hydrogen bonds mediate the characteristic L-shaped molecular structure. tRNAs have two regions of fundamental functional importance: the anti-codon, which is responsible for specific mRNA codon recognition, and the 3' end, to which the tRNAs corresponding amino acid is attached (by aminoacyl-tRNA synthetases). tRNAs cope with the degeneracy of the genetic code in two manners: having more than one tRNA (with a specific anti-codon) for a particular amino acid; and 'wobble' base-pairing, i.e. permitting non-standard base-pairing at the 3rd anti-codon position. Lineage: Eukaryota; Metazoa; Chordata; Lepidosauria; Squamata; Lacertidae. The record is from RNAcentral.